RNAcentral lists this ribosomal RNA (253 nucleotides) under uncultured bacterium. RNAcentral describes it as "partial 16S ribosomal RNA". It matches the Rfam family "Bacterial small subunit ribosomal RNA", at positions 524 to 776 of the family's 1533-position model. The record is from RNAcentral.
GACGAACCGUGCGAACGUUGUUCGGAAUCACUGGGCUUAAAGGGCGCGUAGGCGGGCUUGCAAGUCUGCGGUGAAAGCCUCCAGCUUAACUGGAGAAGUGCCGUGGAUACUGCGAGCCUCGAGGAGGGUAGGGGCGUCUGGAACGUUGGGUGGAGCGGUGAAAUGCGUAGAUAUCGGAAGGAACGCCGGUGGCGAAAGCGACGUGCUGGACCUCUUCUGACGCUGAGGCGCGAAAGCUAGGGGAGCAAACGGG